GCAGGGCGCCGGCUCUCUGGCAACAGACUGCCCUCCUCCGGGCGCUGGGCGGCCGGCUACUUCUCAGGCUGGGGCGGCCUCGGCAGUCUCCAUGGUAACGGCCCCGCCGGCGUCUCAGCCUGGGAGGGAAGAUGCUGCCUGCCGGGCCCGCUCCCUUGCCCCCGGCCUCACGGCCGGGCAGGGGCCACUGAGGAAGAAGGUCCCGGCCGCCGGACUUCGGGGCAGGGGGCACCAGUGAAAUCCCAUUCUCUGGCUGGAGACACAGAUGGCCUCAAAUGAGAGAGAUGCUAUAUCGUGGUACCAAAAGAAGAUUGGAGCAUAUGAUCAGCAGAUAUGGGAAAAGUCGAUCGAACAGACUCAGAUUAAGGGCUUCAAAAACAAACCAAAAAAGAUGGGUCACAUAAAGGCAGAUUUGAUUGAUGUGGACUUAAUCAGAGGCUCAACAUUUGCCAAAGCCAAACCUGAAAUCCCGUGGACGUCUCUGACUCGAAAGGGGCUUGUUCGAGUUGUAUUGUUUCCAUUUUUCAGCACUUGGUGGAUUCAGGUUACCUCUUUAAGAAUCUUUGUUUGGCUGCUGCUGCUUUACCUCAUGCAAGUUAUAGCUCUCGUGUUAUAUUUUCUGAUGCCUAUUGUGAAUGUAAGUGAAGUCCUUGGACCCUUGUGCCUUAUGUUACUCAUGGGAACUGUCCACUGUCAAAUCGUGUCUACUCAGAUCACAAGGCCAUCAGGGAACAAUGGAAAUCGGAGAAGAAGAAAGUUACGAAAAACUGCAAAUGGUGAUGGGAGCCGAGAAAAUGGAAAUAAUUCCUCUGAUAAAGCCAGAGGAAUAGAAACUUUGGAAUCUGCACCCUUUAAUGGUGGCUUUUGGGGGACACUCUUUGGCAACAGGAUUAAAAGAGUAAAAUUAAUAUGUAACAAAGGGACGGAAACUGACAAUGACUCAAGUUGUUUACAUCCUGUCAUCAAGAAGAGACAGUGUCGACCAGAGUUUAGAAUGUGGCAAACAAGAGAGAAAGCAAAAUUUUCAGAUGGAGAAAAGGGACGAAGGGAGUCUUUUAGGCAUUUGGGUAAUGGGAUUUCAGAUGAUCUGUCAAGUGAGGAAGACGGCGAAGCCCGGACACAGAUGAUGAUACUGCGGAGGAGCGUGGAAGGGGCCUCGAGUGACAAUGGUUGUGAAGUUAAGAAUAGAAAAUCAGUACUUUCACGGCACCUAAACACUCAGGUAAAGAAAACCACCUCCAAGUGGUGUCCUAUUAUGCGGGAUUCAGAUAGUCUGGCUGAAUCAGAGUUCGAAUCGGCUGCCUUCAGUCAGGGCUCUAGAUCUGGCAUGAGCGGUGGUUCUAGAAGCCUCAGCAUGUCGCGAAGAGACUCGGAGAGCACCCGCCAUGACUCGGAGACAGAGGACAUGUUGUGGGACGAUCUGCUGCACGGCCCCGAGUGCCGGUCGUCGGUCACCAGCGACAGUGAGGGGGCCCGUGUGAACUCCCUUCACUCGGGGACCAAACGCGACCCCAAAGAGGAUGUUUUUCAGCAGAACCAUUUAUUCUGGCUUCAGAACUCAAGCCCUGCAUCUGAUCGCGUUAGUGCCAUAAUCUGGGAAGGGAGUGAAUGCAAAAAGAUGGAUAUGUCUGUGCUGGAAAUAAGUGGCAUCAUCAUGAGCAGGGUCAAUGCAUAUCAGCAAGGAGUCGGUUAUCAGAUGCUGGGGAAUGUCGUCACCAUCGGAUUAGCCUUUUUUCCUUUUUUACAUCGACUGUUCCGUGAGAAGAGCCUUGACCAGCUAAAGACCAUCUCAGCUGAGGAGAUCUUGACUCUCUUUUGUGGGGCACCACCUGUUACGCCUAUUAUUAUUUUGUCUAUAAUUAAUUUUUUUGAACGAUUGUGUCUUACUUGGAUGUUUUUUUUCAUGAUGUGUGUGGCAGAGAGAACAUAUAAACAGAGAUUUUUAUUUGCAAAACUCUUCAGCCAUAUUACUUCUGCCAGGAAAGCUAGGAAGUAUGAAAUACCUCAUUUCAGACUUAAAAAGGUAGAGAACAUUAAGAUAUGGUUAUCACUGCGUUCCUUUCUAAAGAGACGGGGCCCACAGCGUUCAGUGGACGUGGUUGUGUCUUCAGUCUUCCUACUGACACUUUCCAUUGCUUUCAUUUGCUGUGCGCAGGUUCUCCGGGGACAUAAAACUUUCCUGAAUGAUGUUUAUAAUUGGGAGUUUUUGAUCUGGGAAUCAGCUUUACUACUUUUCUUACUGCGCCUAGCCUCAUUGGGGUCUGAAACCAAUAAGAAAUACAGCAAUGUUUCAAUAUUACUUACUGAACAGAUUAAUUUAUAUCUUAAGAUGGAAAAAAAGCCGAAUAAGAAAGAACAGCUUACUCUAGUAAACAAUGUAUUAAAGCUCUCCACCAAGUUGUUGAAAGAGUUGGACACACCGUUUAGACUCUAUGGACUGACGAUGAAUCCCUUAAUCUACAACAUCACACGAGUCGUGAUCCUCUCUGCUGUCUCAGGUGUUAUCAGCGAUCUUCUAGGAUUUAAUAUACGACUGUGGAAAAUUAAGUCAUAAGCUGAGCCAUGUGCCUGGACUCUCUCCCCUUGCUGGCAUCACUGCUUAACCCAUUAAGGAAAGAGAUGACUGCAAAACCAUGAGAUACCCACCUGCUUGUUCACACACAGAGAGACAAGUAAAAAAAUUCUAAAUACCAGGAUAUGCUACAAAGUCUAAACUUAUAUGGCUGUGUUUUUGUUUUAUUGUAUCUAGAGUUAUUGGUGCCCAUCUUGAAUAAUGAAGUUUGAAUUUCACAAAUUGCAAUAAUCCCCUCCCUUUCCUGCAGUACAUCCUGAGCCCAUAUGCUGUAAUACAGUCUUAUUCAAGGUCACAACCGCUUCUCGGCCACACCCGUAGUGCCUGUGGCUCUGUUUGCACUUGGCACCUUCCAGGGCCCCGGAGUUAUUGGUGUUUUCUUAGCUGGAGAACUGCUUUCAGGCACAAUGUCCUUUAAUUCUUCUGCCUUUUCGCAUGUCUGAACUCUCAUUAAAGAUUCUUCAGUCACUGGCACCUGAGACUCUUCAAAUAUGGAAGCAGAAUGUGAAGAUGGGGGAAAU
This is an RNA transcript of Phacochoerus africanus (Common warthog), 3093 nucleotides long. It is a transcript of the gene named putative homeodomain transcription factor 1, with no coding region annotated. The transcript is spliced from 23 exons. NCBI's taxonomy places the organism in Eukaryota, Metazoa, Chordata, Mammalia, Artiodactyla, Suidae. The record is from RefSeq and is a predicted model, not a curated record.